UGGGGAAUUUUGGACAAUGGGCGAAAGCCUGAUCCAGCAAUGCCGCGUGUGUGAAGAAGGCCUUCGGGUUGUAAAGCACUUUUGUCCGGAAAGAAAUCCUUGGCUCUAAUACAGUCGGGGGAUGACGGUACCGGAAGAAUAAGCACCGGCUAACUACGUGCCAGCAGCCGCGGUAAUACGUAGGGUGCAAGCGUUAAUCGGAAUUACUGGGCGUAAAGCGUGCGCAGGCGGUUUGCUAAGACCGAUGUGAAAUCCCCGGGCUCAACCUGGGAACUGCAUUGGUGACUGGCAGGCUAGAGUAUGGCAGAGGGGGGUAGAAUUCCACGUGUAGCAGUGAAAUGCGUAGAGAUGUGGAGGAAUACCGAUGGCGAAGGCAGCCCCCUGGGCCAAUACUGACGCUCAUGCACGAAAGCGUGGGGAGCAAACAGGAUUAGAUACCCUGGUAGUCCACGCCCUAAACGAUGUCAACUAGUUGUUGGGGACUCAUUUCCUUAGUAACGUAGCUAACGCGUGAAGUUGACCGCCUGGGGAGUACGGUCGCAAGAUU
RNAcentral lists this ribosomal RNA (547 nucleotides) under uncultured bacterium. Its description in RNAcentral is "partial 16S ribosomal RNA". It matches the Rfam family "Bacterial small subunit ribosomal RNA", at positions 355 to 895 of the family's 1533-position model. The record is from RNAcentral.